RNAcentral lists this ribosomal RNA (83 nucleotides) under Silene damboldtiana. Its description in RNAcentral is "partial 26S ribosomal RNA". It matches the Rfam family "Eukaryotic large subunit ribosomal RNA", at positions 1 to 86 of the family's 3401-position model. Lineage: Eukaryota; Viridiplantae; Streptophyta; Magnoliopsida; Caryophyllales; Caryophyllaceae. The record is from RNAcentral.
CCCCAGGUCAGGCGGGGCUACCCGCUGAAUUUAAGCAUAUCAAUAAGCGGAGGAAAAGAAACNNACAAGGAUUCCCCUAGUAA